UCCCAUGAAAAGGAGGGAAUAGGGAAGAGCUGAAGAAGGGAUGGAGAGGAUGGAGAAGGUGAUAGGAGAGGUCCCUGAAGAGGUCAGCCAGCAGCAAGGGCUGUCCCCCCAGCACUUGGGGCUGAUGGGUGCUUUGACCAGCGUUGCUCAGUAAACCUCAGAGCCACACUGAAAAUGAACGUGUGAGUUUGCUGCGUUGGCAAGUCCCACCCUGGGAGCCCUGGGAUGGUGGAAGGAUGUCACCCCUUGGCUACAACCUUGCUGAUCACUGCAAACCCGGGUAAAGGUUAAUCAUUCUUAAUCUGUGGUUUUACUGAACCAGAGUCUGCCUGCUGCUGCUGCACUCCUGCUGCAGCUGUGGGGAGGGAGGCGCUCCCUCAGCUGAUUUGCAUCCAGCCUUGCUGCAGUUAUUUUCCUUUGGAAACACAUGGCCUGAACCUGGGAGGAGAGGAAGAGGAAGAGGAGGGUGUCCUGUUUCUCUCCAGGAGAAGGUAGUUUGACAGAUUUUGAUGAAUGCCCUGGGAAUGUGCUGUAAUUCAUGUUGGAGAUCUGAUGUUCUAUCAGAAGGGCAGGGGAUACAUGACCUGAAGGCUGCCUUUCUAGGCUGCUGUUUUUGUACAGAAGUUCAUUUUCUGAGAGGAAGAUGCUCAGAGAAGGCUCUGAAUGAAGUUGUC
RNAcentral lists this long non-coding RNA (674 nucleotides) under Zonotrichia albicollis (white-throated sparrow). Its description in RNAcentral is "lncRNA (ENSZALG00000000858.1)". Lineage: Eukaryota; Metazoa; Chordata; Aves; Passeriformes; Passerellidae. The record is from RNAcentral.